Molecule: small RNA, 28 nt
Filed under: Bombyx mori (domestic silkworm)
Lineage: Eukaryota; Metazoa; Arthropoda; Insecta; Lepidoptera; Bombycidae
Description: ovarian small RNA-24172
Source: RNAcentral
UAUUCUGCUGGAACAUGUCCUUACCUAU